AGAGUUUGAUCCUGGCUCAGGACGAACGCUGGCGGCGUGCUUAACACAUGCAAGUCGAACGGAAAGGCCCUUUCGGGGGUACUCGAGUGGCGAACGGGUGAGUAACACGUGGGUGAUCUGCCCUGCACUUCGGGAUAAGCUUGGGAAACUGGGUCUAAUACCGGAUAGGACUACGGCCUGCAUGGGUUGUGGUGGAAAGCUUUUGCGGUGUGGGAUGGGCCCGCGGCCUAUCAGCUUGUUGGUGGGGUGAUGGCCUACCAAGGCGACGACGGGUAGCCGGCCUGAGAGGGUGUCCGGCCACACUGGGACUGAGAUACGGCCCAGACUCCUACGGGAGGCAGCAGUGGGGAAUAUUGCACAAUGGGCGCAAGCCUGAUGCAGCGACGCCGCGUGGGGGAUGACGGCCUUCGGGUUGUAAACCUCUUUCACCAUCGGCGAAGCCCAUGAUUUUUGUUGUGGGUGACGGUAGGUGGAGAAGAAGCACCGGCCAACUACGUGCCAGCAGCCGCGGUAAUACGUAGGGUGCGAGCGUUGUCCGGAAUUACUGGGCGUAAAGAGCUCGUAGGUGGUUUGUCGCGUUGUCCGUGAAAUUCCCUGGCUUAACUGGGGGCGUGCGGGCGAUACGGGCAGACUGGAGUACUGCAGGGGAGACUGGAAUUCCUGGUGUAGCGGUGGAAUGCGCAGAUAUCAGGAGGAACACCGGUGGCGAAGGCGGGUCUCUGGGCAGUAACUGACGCUGAGGAGCGAAAGCGUGGGGAGCGAACAGGAUUAGAUACCCCGGUAGUCC
RNAcentral lists this ribosomal RNA (787 nucleotides) under uncultured bacterium. RNAcentral's name for it is "bacterial SSU rRNA". It matches the Rfam family "Bacterial small subunit ribosomal RNA", at positions 8 to 796 of the family's 1533-position model. The record is from RNAcentral.